RNAcentral lists this long non-coding RNA (1097 nucleotides) under Androctonus crassicauda. Lineage: Eukaryota; Metazoa; Arthropoda; Arachnida; Scorpiones; Buthidae. The record is from RNAcentral.
GGAGGGAAAAUUACCUGCAGACUAUGUCAUAAUAAACAAGAAAUCAGGAAUAAGAGGUCAGCUGCUCAUGUUAGCUUGCAAACUCAAGGUGCCAAGAUGCUAUAAAAUUGAGAUGUAAAAUUCCCACCAGCGAGAGUUGGAGAUAAUGUACGCAUCCGCAUACCAGAUGUUGACAGAGGUCGUGGUGAUCCACGAAGCGUCCUUGCAGUUGUCAUGAACAUCGAGGGCGCUUUCUACAGUUGUUUGAGAACAUGGUGUUCUCAAACAACUGUACUCCAGGAGUGAGUUUUCCAUUCAGCAAGAGAAACUGCUUACAUUGGCAUCCAUGGGAACAGAAGAAAAAGCACUACGAACCCGUCGACUCUUCACAAUCGCUGACCGGCAGCCAGGCUACACUCGAUGGAAUUGCAUUACCAAGUGCUCAACAAAUUGCUGCAGAUGUAAAAAUAACAAACUGCUGUGUAAUUCGAAAUGUCAUAAAAGUUCAUCUUGUAACAAGUGAUGAUAUAGAUAAUUUUCUGUAAUAAACUAAUACAGUAUAUAAUGUGAUUAUCUUUCUUUUUUGUUUUCGCCAAGGGAAAGGAAAUCUUCAUAAGAGACCAGGAGAUUCCUGGUACUGUGAGAUUCUUACUCACUAAAACCUCUCCCUUCAGACUACAGCCCACCUAGGGCUACCUACCUUCUUGGCCUCCGGAAGGACGACCCUAGGCGCUUCCUACGUAGCUUAGGUGCUACAAUAGACCACCGGGUGGGAACUAACUUCGCACCCGGUGGUCUUGAUAUCACUAUACCCGAACCUACGUUUCCUCUCCACGUGUUAUCGGGUCUGAUACAGUUGGUCAUGCGUUGUCUUUUCGAUUCGCCUUGCACCAGCUCAGUUCCAGGCUCCCCUUCUAAGAGCACGCCUAUAGCCCGAGUGAUGGCUGCUGGCAACAUUAGACAGACCCUCUUGUCAAGGAUCUGCCAAAUAGUUCUUUCCCUUAUCUCCUCCCAGCGCGGACAUUCUACUAGAAGGUGCUCGAGGGUCUCAGGCUUGUUCUGUUGACAACAGGGGCAAAUUUGUCGGAAAACUCCAUCGAGUCAGCGGCGGCUAUGAG